This 363-nucleotide ribosomal RNA is filed under the name Triticum aestivum (bread wheat). Its description in RNAcentral is "partial small subunit ribosomal RNA". The record is from RNAcentral. Lineage: Eukaryota; Viridiplantae; Streptophyta; Magnoliopsida; Poales; Poaceae.
AUGUUGUCCGGCCAGAGCGCUUUCCCAAUUCCUGAUCCCUCCUAUAUAUAUGCACGCGCCAUUGCUGUAGAACACCACAAACCAACCGGUGCAAAACAAACACCACAUCCACCUCACCUCAUCUACCUCGCACAAGAAGAAGAAGAAGAAGAAGAAAGAGGAGGAGGAGCAAGAGGAGGGAGAGGAGGAGCAGGAGGAGGAGGCGUCAUGGACAAGACAAGUACAAAGGUUCCAGGUACAACGGUUCCCCAUAACAAGCGAACACCGCCGUCCCCCAAUAAGCCGAAGGCACAACCAAAGAAACCUAAAAAGUCGUGUACCCGUAGGAAAGAUCUGAAGCUGACUCGCAAAAACAGAGGAUAG